This 251-nucleotide ribosomal RNA is filed under the name uncultured prokaryote. RNAcentral's name for it is "partial 16S rRNA". It matches the Rfam family "Bacterial small subunit ribosomal RNA", at positions 525 to 775 of the family's 1533-position model. The record is from RNAcentral.
ACAGAGGUCUCGAGCGUUGUUCGGAUUUACUGGGCGUAAAGGGAGCGUAGGCGGUUCGGUAUGUCGAAUGGGAAAGCACACAACUCAACUGUGGAAAUGCAUUCGAAACUGCCGAGCUAGAGUACUGGAGAGGAGAGCGGAAUUCUUGGUGUAGCGGUGAAAUGCGUAGAUAUCAGGAGGAACACCUGUGGCGAAGGCGUCUCUCUGGACUGAUUCUGACGCUGAGGCGCGAAAGUUAGGGGAGCAAACAG